UACGAAGGGGGCUAGCGUUGCUCGGAAUCACUGGGCGUAAAGCGCGCGUAGGCGGAUUGCUAAGUCAGGGGUGAAAUCCUGGAGCUCAACUCCAGAACUGCCUUUGAUACUGAAGAUCUUGAGUUCGGGAGAGGUGAGUGGAACUGCGAGUGUAGAGGUGAAAUUCGUAGAUAUUCGCAAGAACACCAGUGGCGAAGGCGGCUCACUGGCCCGAUACUGACGCUGAGGCACGAAAGCGUGGGGAGCAAACAGG
Molecule: ribosomal RNA, 253 nt
Filed under: uncultured bacterium
Lineage: Bacteria
Description: partial 16S ribosomal RNA
Rfam family: Bacterial small subunit ribosomal RNA
Source: RNAcentral